This is a long non-coding RNA of Homo sapiens (human), 499 nucleotides long. RefSeq lists it as uncharacterized. The record is from RefSeq and is a predicted model, not a curated record. The transcript has 2 exons. Lineage: Eukaryota; Metazoa; Chordata; Mammalia; Primates; Hominidae.
CGCCUCAGCGCGGCGCCGGCUAGAGCGGUGGCCCUGAUAGAGGCCGCUCUACCAUGAGCCGACCGCUCGAAGGUCCGCGCGGCCACGCGGCCAGCCCCGGGCUCCUCUGGGCCACGCGUGUCACGUCAACACUCGCCGGGCUCCACGAACUGGCGUUGUCAGAUGAAACACGGCACAACUGGUUUGCAUCUCAGAUGAACAAGGGGUCAUGUCUUAGUACAACGUGAAAGGCAGCACGUGGUGACGUCCAUCUCGCAGCCCAGGGCAGUCUCGCCAGGCCUGCCCAGAAGGGGCCUCUGGAAGGCACGAACGGAACCUGUCCUCUUUACGCUGGGCCCAGCACAGGACGUGUUUGGAUGGAUGCUGCAGUAACAGGGCCUCCUCCCUACCCUUGAGGGCCAGGCACACUCAGGACCUCCCUCCCUCUGCCAUCCAGAAGGCAGGUCCAGAUCUAAACCCUACUGGAAAAGAGGCAGUAAAUUGUAUCAAUGAGCCUGAA